GAUGAACGCUGGCGGCGUGCUUAACACAUGCAAGUCGAACGGAAAGGCUCCUGCUUGCAGGGGUACUCGAGUGGCGAACGGGUGAGUAACACGUGGGUGAUCUGCCCUGCACUUCGGGAUAAGCCUGGGAAACUGGGUCUAAUACCGGAUAGGACCACAUUUUGGAUGGUGUGGUGGAAAGUUUUUCGGUGUGGGAUGAGCUCGCGGCCUAUCAGCUUGUUGGUGGGGUAAUGGCCUACCAAGGCGUCGACGGGUAGCCGGCCUGAGAGGGUGUACGGCCACAUUGGGACUGAGAUACGGCCCAGACUCCUACGGGAGGCAGCAGUGGGGAAUAUUGCACAAUGGGCGCAAGCCUGAUGCAGCGACGCCGCGUGGGAGAUGACGGCCUUCGGGUUGUAAACUCCUUUCGCUAGGGACGAAGCGUUUUUGUGACGGUACCUGGAGAAGAAGCACCGGCUAACUACGUG
This 467-nucleotide ribosomal RNA is filed under the name uncultured bacterium. RNAcentral describes it as "partial 16S ribosomal RNA". It matches the Rfam family "Bacterial small subunit ribosomal RNA", at positions 28 to 507 of the family's 1533-position model. The record is from RNAcentral.